UGUUAAAAUUUUCAUUCAUUUGUAUUGUUAAAAAUUAACGUAACUGAGAGAAUAAUCAGAUAGUGACACGUGACAUGCCACGUAUACCUCAUGAUAAUAUAUAAAGAUAAGUUUUUAACUGCAAAAAUGGAUAAUUUUUUUAAUA
This is a non-coding RNA of Gossypium raimondii (Peruvian cotton), 145 nucleotides long. The record is from Rfam. Lineage: Eukaryota; Viridiplantae; Streptophyta; Magnoliopsida; Malvales; Malvaceae.